CAGUCUGCAUGGAGCCGACCUUGAAAUACCACCCUUUAAUGGCUGGUGUUCUAACGUGGGCCCGUGAACCGGGUUGCGGACAGUGUCUGGUGGGUAGUUUGACUGGGGCGGUCUCCUCCUAAAGAGUAACGGAGGAGCACGAAGGUUGGCUAAUCCUGGUCGGACAUCAGGAGGUUAGUGCAAUGGCAUAAGCCAGCUUGACUGCGAGCGUGACGGCGCGAGCAGGUGCGAAAGCAGGUCAUAGUGAUCCGGUGGUUCUGAAUGGAAGGGCCAUCGCUCAACGGAUAAAAGGUACUCCGGGGAUAACAGGCUGAUACCGCCCAAGAGUUCAUAUCGACGGCGGUGUUUGGCACCUCGAUGUCGGCUCAUCACAUCCUGGGGCUGAAGUAGGUCCCAAGGGUAUGGCUGUUCGCCAUUUAAAGUGGUACGCGAGCUGGGUUUAGAACGUCGUGAGACAGUUCGGUCCCUAUCUGCCGUGGGCGCUGGAAGAUUGAGGGGGGCUGCUCCUAGUACGAGAGGACCGGAGUGGACGCAUCACUGGUGUUCGGGUUGUCAUGCCAAUGGCACUGCCCGGUAGCUACAUGCGGAAGAGAUAAGUGCUGAAAGCAUCUAAGCACGAAACUUGCCCCGAGAUGAAUCUUCCCUGAGCCUUUAAGGCUCCUGAAGGAACGUUGAAGACGACGACGUUGAUAGGCCGGGUGUGUAAGCGCAGCGAUGCGUUGAGCUAACCGGUACUAAUGAACCGUGAGGCUUAACCUUACAACGCCGAAG
Molecule: ribosomal RNA, 771 nt
Filed under: Salmonella enterica
Lineage: Bacteria; Pseudomonadati; Pseudomonadota; Gammaproteobacteria; Enterobacterales; Enterobacteriaceae
Description: partial 23S ribosomal RNA
Rfam family: Bacterial large subunit ribosomal RNA
Source: RNAcentral